GGCNGNGNGGGUGCUUACCAUGCAGUCGAACGAUGAUCCCAGCUUGCUGGGGGAUUAGUGGCGAACGGGUGAGUAACACGUGAGUAACCUGCCCUUAACUCUGGGAUAAGCCUGGGAAACUGGGUCUAAUACCGGAUAUGACUCCUCAUCGCAUGGUGGGGGGUGGAAAGCUUUUUGUGGUUUUGGAUGGACUCGCGGCCUAUCAGCUUGUUGGUGAGGUAAUGGCUCACCAAGGCGACGACGGGUAGCCGGCCUGAGAGGGUGACCGGCCACACUGGGACUGAGACACGGCCCAGACUCCUACGGGAGGCAGCAGUGGGGAAUAUUGCACAAUGGGCGAAAGCCUGAUGCAGCGACGCCGCGUGAGGGAUGACGGCCUUCGGGUUGUAAACCUCUUUCAGUAGGGAAGAAGCGAAAGUGACGGUACCUGCAGAAGAAGCGCCGGCUAACUACGUGCCAGCAGCCGCGGUAAUACGUAGGGCGCAAGCGUUAUCCGGAAUUAUUGGGCGUAAAGAGCUCGUAGGCGGUUUGUCGCGUCUGCCGUGAAAGUCCGGGGCUCAACUCCGGAUCUGCGGUGGGUACGGGCAGACUAGAGUGAUGUAGGGGAGACUGGAAUUCCUGGUGUAGCGGUGAAAUGCGCAGAUAUCAGGAGGAACACCGAUGGCGAAGGCAGGUCUCUGGGCAUUAACUGACGCUGAGGAGCGAAAGCAUGGGGAGCGAACAGGAUUAGAUACCCUGGUAGUCCAUGCCGUAAACGUUGGGCACUAGGUGUGGGGGACAUUCCACGUUUUCCGCGCCGUAGCUAACGCAUUAAGUGCCCCGCCUGGGGAGUACGGCCGCAAGGCUAAAACUCAAGGAGAAUUUGACGGAA
This 871-nucleotide ribosomal RNA is filed under the name Arthrobacter sp. MF02_Fo. RNAcentral's name for it is "bacterial SSU rRNA". It matches the Rfam family "Bacterial small subunit ribosomal RNA", at positions 38 to 918 of the family's 1533-position model. Lineage: Bacteria; Bacillati; Actinomycetota; Actinomycetes; Micrococcales; Micrococcaceae. The record is from RNAcentral.